Molecule: small nuclear RNA, 191 nt
Organism: Penaeus chinensis
Lineage: Eukaryota; Metazoa; Arthropoda; Malacostraca; Decapoda; Penaeidae
Product: U2 spliceosomal RNA
Exons: 1
Source: RefSeq, a predicted model, not a curated record
AUGCCUUUCGGUUUUUUGGGGCUAGAUAAAAGUGUAGAAUCGUUUUUCAGCUUAAUAUCUGAUACGACCCCCAUGGGGAUCUACGAUUUUAAAAAACUAAAUUUUGGAAAAUGGCGAAUGCUAGGGGCUUGCUCCACCUUUGCCGCGGAUUCGCCCGGUUUGCAUUUACCUCCGGUUUGGGUCCACCCCCU